This 917-nucleotide long non-coding RNA is filed under the name Oryctolagus cuniculus (rabbit). RNAcentral describes it as "lncRNA (ENSOCUG00000037869.1)". The record is from RNAcentral. Lineage: Eukaryota; Metazoa; Chordata; Mammalia; Lagomorpha; Leporidae.
CGCCGCCCGCAGGGAUGGUGCGGAGCCUGCCCAGGCUGCGCUCCAGGCUGCCAGGCGGUUUCCCCCGCGCUUGCAGACUCCGGUCCCAAGUCAGCGGGCUCACCUUGCGGGCGCCUGCAGCACGCGCCGGGCUCUGAAGCUGCGCGCAAACUUCUCCCGACUUCAGCGCAGCCCGCCCCGCCCGCCUCUCCACGCAGCCCAGGCGGCGGCGGCUGCAGCGAGGGCGCGCCAGCUCCUCCCGGGCCCUCCAGCCCCUCCCGGCCCUCCCCUCCGCGCCUCUCCCCUCCCCUCAGUCCCUCCCGGCCCGGGAGAGGGAGGGGCGAGCUGCCGAGCUCUGCGCGCCUCCUCGCCAGCCCCUGCCCCGGCCCCGGCCCGCGAUGGGGCUGCGCUCCGCCGCUGCCCGGCCGAGGGCCAGGCGGGGCUCACCCUCGCGUCCUGGGGCCGAUAGCGGGGCGCGCACCCACUCUUAGCAGGCGAGGGACCCCCGUGGAGGCCCGAAAGGAGACUGCGGUCCGGGCUGGGAGAUUUCCAACUUGUCCCUGGAGACAGCUUUGUGGGCGCCCCGUCCGCUCCCCGGAGGAUGCAAAUUUCGGAGGGUGGUGUGGAUAUGGAAGAGCAGCUUUUGUGUGCAAACUCCACUUCUGUCCCCAAACCGUCCAUUCUCCUUGCUGAGGACGUGAAGUCCUGCCCUGUAGAAAGGGCUUGUGAGGGGUGGGCAUCUGGUCUACAGGUUUGAAUCCCAGCUCUGCAACAUAUUGUAGCUUCCUGCUAAUGCACACCCCACCAGGAGGCAGCAGGUGACAUCUGCAUGGGAGACCUGAGUCCAGUUCCCAUGGAGGGCACCAGCAUAUGAGAUCUCUCUUUGCCGCUCUAAAUACAUAAAUAAAUAAAAUUUUAAAAGGUUUUGUGAGUUCUUG